Molecule: ribosomal RNA, 488 nt
Filed under: uncultured bacterium
Lineage: Bacteria
Description: bacterial SSU rRNA
Rfam family: Bacterial small subunit ribosomal RNA
Source: RNAcentral
GAUGAACGCUAGCUACAGGCUUAACACAUGCAAGUCGAGGGGCAGCGCAGUGUAGCAAUACAGUCGGGCGGCCGACCGGCGCACGGGUGCGUAACGCGUAUCCAACCUUCCCGUUACUCAGGGAUAGCCUUCCGAAAGGGAGAUUAAUACCUGAUGGUGUUGAAAUUCCGCAUGUUAUUCAACUAAAGAUUUAUCGGUAACGGAUGGGGAUGCGUGACAUUAGAUAGUAGGCGGGGUAACGGCCCACCUAGCCUUCGAUCAUUAGGGGUUCUGAGAGGAAGGUCCCCCACACUGGAACUGAGACACGGUCCAGACUCCUACGGGAGGCAGCAGUGAGGAAUAUUGGUCAAUGGGCGAGAGCCUGAACCAGCCAAGUAGCGUGAAGGAAGACUGCCCUAUGGGUUGUAAACUUCUUUUGUUCGGGAAUAAAGUGCAGUACGCGUACUGUUUUGUAUGUACCGUUCGAAUAAGCAUCGGCUAAUUCCGUG